Cyprinus carpio carpio is the source of this 701-nucleotide long non-coding RNA. The record is from Ensembl. NCBI's taxonomy places the organism in Eukaryota, Metazoa, Chordata, Actinopteri, Cypriniformes, Cyprinidae.
CAAUGCAAAGCACCUCAUGAAUGCUAAUCUAAAUAUUAAUGAGCCUUGCAUUCACUUGUGCGUUGUUACACUGCAUAAUGGCGACAGGUGAGAAAAGAGCAAAAAAAAACGUAAUUUCUCAGACACUGACAUACACAUACUUGUAGGGGAGGUGGAGGCCCGGAAAACAACAUUAUUUGGUGGCCACAGCAGUGGGAUCACUAAUAAAAAGAAGCAGUGCGAGUGGCAACGUGUUGCUGCUUCUGUCAACUGCAUCAGUGGGACAGAACAGACAGUUGCAGAACUAAAGGAAAAGUGGUCCGAUCUGAAGUUAUAUAAUGGUAGAGUACUUGAUGCUAUCCUGUACUCCAUCCUGCCCUGCCAUCUCCACCUGCACUCCCGCCUCUUCCUUUGUUUUGUUGUUCUGGACCACCAUGCCAACAUUUGAAAUUCAUCUGCACCUUCUACCUCUCCUUCCACCCUGUUGUCCACUUCCUCUAUAUCCAUGUCUUCUUACAGUGUCUCCUCAUGCUCUUUCCACUACACCAAUACCCUCUUCUCUAAUCAUCUCUUCUCCAUUUCCUUCUCCUCUCCUCUUCUCUUUUCUCACAUCUUCCUCUCUGCUCAUCUCUUUCUAGCUGUUUCACUCUUCAUCUUCUCUUUCAUUAUGCCCCUUUCUCUACCCACUCUACCACCUUGUAGACUUACACCUUUCUUUAACC